Gorilla gorilla gorilla (western lowland gorilla) is the source of this 1757-nucleotide long non-coding RNA. RefSeq lists it as uncharacterized. The transcript is spliced from 3 exons. The record is from RefSeq and is a predicted model, not a curated record. Lineage: Eukaryota; Metazoa; Chordata; Mammalia; Primates; Hominidae.
GGGAAGCCAUGAGCUGCCACAUCACGCCCGGAAGGAAGCGGGCUGCGUUGGAGGGUUCAAAUUUUCAACAGUGGCCGGAUCCCUCUAAUCCACAGUGGUGGAGCACUGUGAUUGACAUUCAGCGCAAAGCUCUUGCUGGGAAAUGCGGUGACCGAGCCGUCAGCACAGGCGGCAGCUGCCUCCCACACUUAAGACAGGACUUCUAAAGCCACAGUCCCUGUGUGAGCCUCCUGGAGCUCACAGUCCCUCAAACGGCAGGCAGUUGAAGAGAUGAAGGCGCAGAGGCAUGAACUCCCGUAGCCAGAGAGUGUGAGCUGGACUCUACCUGGAGCAGCCUCGGUGCAGAGCCCAUGCCCCCAACCAUGUCCGUGGUCAAGGCCCAGCCCAGACAGGGCACAAAGGGGCUGAGGAAGAGGAAGUAAGAUGCCAGGGUUGCCAUGCAGGAGGGCAACCCCGAGUGAGAUGGGCAUCGUGGCCUAGGGCCCACCUUCCGGAAGAGCUCAUCAGAACUUCGGACACACUGCAUGGGCCUAGACCCAGGGCUCGUUGAGCUCCUCCCUCGGAUUGGCUUCGAAUUUUAGGUGAAUCCUCUCUAGCGGCCACAUUCACCCUUGCAAGCCUGCACUUUGUCAUCUUCUGAAAAGGUGCAGGAACAUGAUGCCCAGCUGACUCCCAGGGAGCGGGGGCCCCAGAGGCCAGCGGAGCACAGCCGCAGCAGGCAGAUCUGUUGGGAAACCACGGGAGUAUAGGAGCAGGGCUGGGGGCACCUGAGGGCCUGUGGAGCCUGAAUUAUUGAAACGCUUAGAGUAAAGCAGAUUUAGAUUUCACAAAGACAGAGGUGAAGGUGGGUGAAGACGGAGGGAAGGAUUUAAAGAGAAAGAGAAAGAGGAAAGAUAAGAAUGAGGGAGAAAGAGGAAGAGAGAAAGAAAAAGAGAAAUAGAGUUAUCAAAGAUGACUGCAAGUCUGGCCUCUCUCAACCCAAGGAGCCAAGGAGGGGAAGGCCGGCCUGAGCAGCAACGUAGACAAGAGCUCAGGAGCUCAGGCGGGCAGGGACAGAGCCCUGGCUUCAGCAAGAGCGUGGGGAACAGAGGGCAAGGGGGUCCAUGCAGCCCAGGAUGGCAGGGUGCUCAUACACCCAGCCUUGGUCCUGUCCCCUCUCCCAUUGCCGCUUUUGAGCUCACCUUGUUUAAGGCCAAAGCACACACCAUCCUCCCACAGAGCCACUAAUGCAAUUAACAAAACACAUUCAUAAAUCUUGCAUGGCGUCCGGAGCUGUCUCCUCUCCCUAAGCACAAAGGCCAGCUCCAGAGAUGCUGUGCAGAGAGCUGUCUGACCUCUCCAGCGUCAGGGCCCCCUGAAAAGCGCAGCAUAACCCUUAGUAGGACAGAAAGACCAUUCUCUUCUGCCAACCAUUACAAAGUGGAGUGGGGCUGGGGUUAGGAAACACAGACAAAUCAGAAGAGGCUGAGAAGGCGGAGAUGAAAGUGCAUAGGUGUUUGCAGGGAGCUGGGGAAUAGUUCGUGCCUUCCAAGCUCAACAAGAGAGCAUUCAGCAGAGACCAGAGAAUCACCACUUUUGGAGGGUGAUUUUACCCUGUGAGAACAGAGCACAGGGUGUGUGGGACCCAGGGCAUCUUCGGCAAUGCAGGCGUGACUUGGCGGGAUGCCGGUGUUUGUGUUUGCAUGUGUGUGUGCGUGCGUGCAUGCUCAGUCUGGAAAACUGGUGACUCACUAAAACACCGAGCUUUCUGAUCUGAA